This 983-nucleotide long non-coding RNA is filed under the name Sus scrofa (pig). RNAcentral's name for it is "lncRNA (ENSSSCG00070018212.1)". Lineage: Eukaryota; Metazoa; Chordata; Mammalia; Artiodactyla; Suidae. The record is from RNAcentral.
GUGGGAGCAGACGGCUUAAUGGAGCCUCGUUGUGACUCACCCCAGUGGGAAGGUUGAGGCACCUGCCUUGGGGGAAUCCACAGCCAAGAUAAAGCAUCACCCACCAGGCGUGGGGAUGGUCGAGCGUCACCAGAAUGAUGCAGGGUGGAAGGCACACGCCACAGCUCCCUCACUCUAGAAGGAUGUUUUUGAGAAGUCUACCUGCUCCCCAGAGGCAUGGGGCAGCCUAGUUCUCUCUUCCCCUCUUUUCUUUCUUCGCUCUCAAUUCCCCAUCUGUGAGUCACUCGGUAUCAGUCCACUAAACUCUUCUCAGCCCAUGUCAGCAGGAACCAGCUGGCUUUGUGGGGGAAAAUACCAACCCAGCUGUCUGCACAAGGAUGGUAAGAAUUAGAACCUUGGGUCCCAUACCUCCAGCUCACAUCUGGAGAAACUGAAGGGGAGACUUUGAAAUUUGGGGUCAAGGAAGCCUUGUAGCUUUUUGAUUAACAGCACGAGUUCUUGAGUCACCUGGCCUGGAAGAAAAAGCCCACCUCGGCCGUUUAGUUACUGAUUGAUUUCGACCCAUCACUUCACUCACCAAGCUUCAGCUCCUCCUCUCUGACUAUAGGACAAGAUCAGUACCACGCUCCUAAGGCCAGCGAUGCUGCAAAAUGCAUAAUAACCUUUGGUUGUUAUUUUAGUGAUGAUUCUUCUAGAUUUCUCCUGAGAAGUCAUGCAAAACAGGAAUGUGAAUUGCAAAAAAGAUGCUGAGCAGGAAGGCACCAAAGAAAGCCUUUCUCCAAAGGGGAUGUUUAUUUCAGAGGCACACAGGGGGAAGCUCCACCAGCUGUUUUCCAGGAAAUCAUCCACUUCACCCAGGGAGGCGCUGCUGAGGAGUGUGAGUGAGGUCCCGCCUGACCCCAGCUAGUGGGCUGCUGCCUUCUUCUGGCUUCCGUGAGUCAAAGGGACAUGAAAACCACAACAUGAGGUUUAACUGCGAAGCC